This 100-nucleotide signal recognition particle RNA is filed under the name Nitriliruptorales bacterium. RNAcentral's name for it is "Bacterial small signal recognition particle RNA". It matches the Rfam family "Bacterial small signal recognition particle RNA". Rfam says of the family: The signal recognition particle (SRP) is a universally conserved ribonucleoprotein involved in the co-translational targeting of proteins to membranes. Archaeal SRP consists of a 7S RNA and homologues of the eukaryotic SRP19 and SRP54 proteins. Lineage: Bacteria; Bacillati; Actinomycetota; Nitriliruptoria; Nitriliruptorales. The record is from Rfam by way of RNAcentral.
UGCGAGGUCCCGUGCGACGUCGCCCCGUGAACCUGGUCAGGGCCGGAAGGCAGCAGCCAUAAGCGGCACGCGGCGGGCGCCACGGAUCAGCCGCGCAUCG